UUCUAUCAGCCGGCUAUCGCGCUUUUGGCAACAAAAGUGAGGAAAGUCCGGACAGCAAAGGGCAACACACCGGUUAACGACCGGCGGCCUGCAAAGGCCAGAGAUAGUGCCACAGAAAAUAACUGUCAGCUUCGGCUGAUGAGGGUGAAAACGUGAGGUAAGAGCUCACGGUAAACCAUGGUAACAUGGCUUACGGGUAAACCUUGUGUGCUGAAAUGCCAUGUAAACCGGCGUGCUGAAAAGUAAAGAGCUGCCCGUUCAAAUUCCGCAAGGAUGCGCCGGAGGGUAGGCAGAUUGAAUCAGCCGGUAACGGUUGAUCCAGAUAAAUGAUAGCCGUUCCGGUUUCACCGGGAUAACAGAAUCCGGCUUAUGGCUGAUAGAAUUUU
RNAcentral lists this RNase P RNA (386 nucleotides) under Chitinophagaceae bacterium. RNAcentral's name for it is "RNase P RNA component class A". It matches the Rfam family "Bacterial RNase P class A". From Rfam's summary of the family: Ribonuclease P (RNase P) is a ubiquitous endoribonuclease, found in archaea, bacteria and eukarya as well as chloroplasts and mitochondria. Lineage: Bacteria; Pseudomonadati; Bacteroidota; Chitinophagia; Chitinophagales; Chitinophagaceae. The record is from RNAcentral. RNAcentral also lists the same sequence under 1 other name.